Long non-coding RNA from Agrilus planipennis (emerald ash borer), 674 nucleotides. RefSeq lists it as uncharacterized. The record is from RefSeq and is a predicted model, not a curated record. Lineage: Eukaryota; Metazoa; Arthropoda; Insecta; Coleoptera; Buprestidae. The transcript has 2 exons.
GCUGGCAUAUUGAAUGCUCUGCUCUUGCAAGCUUCUUUUUAGGCGAUGAAUUGGAUGUUCAUGCUGGAGGAAUUGAUUUACAAUUUCCCCAUCAUGAAAAUGAGGAGGCUCAAUCUUGUGCUUAUUUUACAAAGCAACAGUGGGUCAACUAUUGGAUUCAUACAGGACAUCUUCACUAUGGAGACGCCCAAAAAAUGUCAAAAUCUUUAAAAAAUACAAUAACAAUUACUGAAAUGCUGGAGAUUUGCAGCUCUAAUGACUUUAGAAUGGCAUGUCUCAUGUCUCAUUACUCAAAAAACAUGGAAUUCAGUACCGAAUUGAUUAAAACAGCCAAAGGAGUAAUAGACCACUAUAAAAAUUUUCUAUCUCAUUGUUCAGCAUACACAGAUUGUACCCUUAAUGUGAAAUUAAACCAAAAUGUUUUGAAAGAGAAUUUAGCAAAUGUAGAAAAGGAAAUUGGCUGUGCUUUAUCAGAUGAUUUUGAUACAGCUAGAGCACUGAAAAGCCUUCAUAAUCUAACUAGUAAUGUUAAUAAAAUGCUAACUAAUUCUCCUCCAAUCCCUGAAGAUGCUAUGAACAGCAAUGUAGAAAUCUUAGCCUGUGCUAAUUAUGUAUCGAAUAUUUUAUCCACAUUUGGAAUUAAUUUAAAUCCAAAAUCCCAUACAACUAAACAA